AGAUGUUGGGCGCCUGGAAAAGUAAAACAGUUUUCGGCGUGUUAACCCUUAUAAGCAGAUUCAACCUAACGAUAUUAUUUCAAACGGAAGAGAAUGUAUAGACCAGAGAAGAGAGAGACUUCCAGAUGGGCUUGAUGGGAACAACGAUCAGCCCAGGAGGGUCCAAGAAUAUAGACCUGCUCCUCUGAGAUCGCCUGCAUCACCUGAUAUCACCAGACCCAAGAGCCCAUCAGAAAACAAAACGGAUCACAAUAAAGGACAGGAGCCAGACA
This is a long non-coding RNA of Bombina bombina (fire-bellied toad), 272 nucleotides long. RefSeq lists it as uncharacterized. The transcript has 3 exons. The record is from RefSeq and is a predicted model, not a curated record. Lineage: Eukaryota; Metazoa; Chordata; Amphibia; Anura; Bombinatoridae.